UGAAUACGAGAUGCUACGGCGUCGAAGCAGUGUAUGUCAGACUUCCAAGAAAAGCUCGCAAUGUCAUAAAUAAAGAAUGCCUGUACCAUAACCGACACAGGUGGGUAGGUAGAGUAUACUAAGGGGCGCGAGAUAACUCUCUCUAAGGAACUCGGCAAAAUAACUCCGUAACUUCGGGAGAAGGAGUGCCUUCUUUAAGAAGGUUGCAAUAACAAGAUCCAAGCAACUGUUUAUCAAAAACACAGGUCUCCGCUAAGUCGUAAGACGAUGUAUGGGGGCUGACGCCUGCCCAGUGCCAGAAGGUUAAAGAAGUUGGUUAGCUUUUGCGAAGCUGAUGACUGAAGCCCUGGUGAACGGCGGCCGUAACAAUAACGGUCCUAAGGUAGCGAAAUUCCUUGUCGGGUAAGUUCCGACCCGCACGAAAGGCGUAAUGAUUUGGAUACUGUCUCGGAGAGGGACUCGGUGAAAUAGACUUGUCUGUGAAGAUGCGGACUACCUGCACCAGGACAGAAAGACCCUAUUAAGCUUUACUGUAACUUGAAAUUGAAAUUGGACUUUAUUUGCGCAAUAUAGGUGGAAGGCGUUGAAAGUAAUCUUGCGGGAUUAGUGGAGCCAUCAGUGAGAUACCACUCCUAUAAUGUUAGAUUUCUAACUUUGGAUCAUGAUCUGGUCAAAGAACAGUUUCAGGCGGGCAGUUUGACUGGGGCGGUCGCCUCCCAAAUGGUAACGGAGGCGUACAAAGGUUUCCUCUGAACGGGUAGAAAUCGUAUCUAGAGUGUAAAGGCAUAAGGAAGCCUGACUGUGAGACCUACAAGUCGAGCAGGGACGAAAGUCGGUCUUAGUGAUCUGACGGUGCUGAGUGGAAAGGCCGUCACUCAACGGAUAAAAGUUACUCUAAGGAUAACAGGCUGAUCUCCCCCAAGAGUUCACAUCGACGGGGAGGUUUGGCACCUCGAUGUCGGCUCAUCGCAUCCUGGGGCGGUAGUACGUCCCAAGGGUUGGGCUGUUCGCCCAUGAAAGCGGUACGCGAGCUGGGUUCAGAACGUCGUGAGACAGUUCGGUCCAUAUCCGGUGUAGGCGUUAGAAUAUUGAGAGGAGCCUUCUUUAGUACGAGAGGACCGAGAAGGACAUACCUCUGGUGUACCAGUUAUCGUGCCAACGGUAAACGCUGGGUAGCUAUGUAUGGAGAGGAUAACCGCUGAAAGCAUCUAAGUGGGAAGCCCACCUCAAGAU
RNAcentral lists this ribosomal RNA (1233 nucleotides) under metagenome. RNAcentral describes it as "bacterial LSU rRNA". It matches the Rfam family "Bacterial large subunit ribosomal RNA", at positions 1564 to 2805 of the family's 2925-position model. The record is from RNAcentral.